This 429-nucleotide ribosomal RNA is filed under the name Bacteroidota bacterium. RNAcentral's name for it is "Bacteroidetes bacterium partial 16S ribosomal RNA". It matches the Rfam family "Bacterial small subunit ribosomal RNA", at positions 355 to 776 of the family's 1533-position model. The record is from RNAcentral. Lineage: Bacteria; Pseudomonadati; Bacteroidota.
UAGGGAAUCUUCGGCAAUGGGGGGAACCCUGACCGAGCAACGCCGCGUGAGUGAAGAAGGUUUUCGGAUCGUAAAGCCCUGUUGUUAAGGAAGAACGAGUGUGAGAAUGGAAAGUUCAUGCUGUGACGGUACUUAACCAGAAAGGGACGGCUAACUACGUGCCAGCAGCCGCGGUAAUACGUAGGUCCCGAGCGUUGUCCGGAUUUAUUGGGCGUAAAGCGAGCGCAGGCGGUUAGAUAAGUCUGAAGUUAAAGGCAGUGGCUCAACCAUUGUAGGCUUUGGAAACUGUUUAACUUGAGUGCAGGAGGGGAGAGUGGAAUUCCAUGUGUAGCGGUGAAAUGCGUAGAUAUAUGGAGGAACACCAGUGGCGAAGGCGACUCUCUGGUAUAUAACUGACGCUGAGGCUCGAAAGCGUGGGUAGCAAGCAGG